AUGAAAGAAAAGGAGCGCUCUUUUUAGAGGCUUCGACCCCUUUCUCUUCCACACACCCGCGCACUCGGGGGCGUCGACGCCGGCCGACGAGGCUGUGCCAAGGCGCUUUCCGCCCUUUUACAUGCACCUUUCGUAUUGAGGAUGUCGUAAAAUACAAAAACAAAACA
Molecule: unclassified non-coding RNA, 167 nt
Filed under: uncultured fungus
Lineage: Eukaryota; Fungi
Description: sequence contains ITS1, 5.8S rRNA gene
Source: RNAcentral